AGAGUUUGAUCAUGGCUCAGGACGAACGCUGGCGGCGUGCUUAACACAUGCAAGUCGAACGGAGAACCCCUGUCGGAGGAUUCGUCCAACUGAUGGGAAUUCUUAGUGGCGGACGGGUGAGUAACGCGUGAGGAACCUGCCUUGGAGUGGGGAAUAACAGUCCGAAAGGACUGCUAAUACCGCAUAAUGCAGUUGGGCCGCAUGGCUCUGACUGCCAAAGAUUUAUCGCUCUGAGAUGGCCUCGCGUCUGAUUAGCUAGUAGGCGGGGUAACGGCCCACCUAGGCGACGAUCAGUAGCCGG
Molecule: ribosomal RNA, 301 nt
Filed under: uncultured bacterium
Lineage: Bacteria
Description: bacterial SSU rRNA
Rfam family: Bacterial small subunit ribosomal RNA
Source: RNAcentral